RNAcentral lists this ribosomal RNA (521 nucleotides) under Thelonectria theobromicola. Its description in RNAcentral is "SSU rRNA". It matches the Rfam family "Eukaryotic small subunit ribosomal RNA", at positions 65 to 590 of the family's 1831-position model. Lineage: Eukaryota; Fungi; Ascomycota; Sordariomycetes; Hypocreales; Nectriaceae. The record is from RNAcentral.
AUAAGCAAUUAUACAGCGAAACUGCGAAUGGCUCAUUAUAUAAGUUAUCGUUUAUUUGAUAGUGCCUUACUACUUGGAUAACCGUGGUAAUUCUAGAGCUAAUACAUGCUAAAAAUCCCGACUUCGGAAGGGAUGUAUUUAUUAGAUUAAAAACCAAUGCCCUUCGGGGCUUCUUGGUGAUUCAUGAUAACUCCUCGAAUCGCAUGGCCUUGUGCCGGCGAUGGUUCAUUCAAAUUUCUUCCCUAUCAACUUUCGAUGUUUGGGUAUUGGCCAAACAUGGUUGCAACGGGUAACGGAGGGUUAGGGCUCGACCCCGGAGAAGGAGCCUGAGAAACGGCUACUACAUCCAAGGAAGGCAGCAGGCGCGCAAAUUACCCAAUCCCGACACGGGGAGGUAGUGACAAUAAAUACUGAUACAGGGCUCUUUUGGGUCUUGUAAUUGGAAUGAGUACAAUUUAAAUCCCUUAACGAGGAACAAUUGGAGGGCAAGUCUGGUGCCAGCAGCCGCGGUAAUUCCAGCU